Molecule: ribosomal RNA, 126 nt
Filed under: Tuber badium
Lineage: Eukaryota; Fungi; Ascomycota; Pezizomycetes; Pezizales; Tuberaceae
Description: partial 28S ribosomal RNA
Source: RNAcentral
UGACCUCGGAUCAGGUAGGCAUACCCGCUGAACUUAAGCAUAUCAAUAAGCGGAGGAAAGGGCGACACGCGAAUUCGAUAUCGCGGCCGCCUGCAGUCAAUACUGACGAUGGUAAGCUCUGUUUUC